GACGAACGCUGGCGGCGUGCUUAACACAUACAAGUCGAACGGUGAAGCGCCUUCCUUUUUGGUGGGUGUGGAUGAGUGGCGAACGGGUGAGUAACACGUGAGUAACCUGCCCCCUUCUUCUGGAUAACCGCAUGAAAGUGUGGCUAAUACGGGAUAUUCUGGGUCUGUCGCAUGAUGGGUCUGGGAAAGAUAUUGUUUCGGUGGGGGAUGGGCUCGCGGCCUAUCAGCUUGUUGGUGGGGUGAUGGCCUACCAAGGCGGUGACGGGUAGCCGGCCUGAGAGGGUGGACGGUCACACUGGGACUGAGACACGGCCCAGACUCCUACGGGAGGCAGCAGUGGGGUAUAUUGCACAAUGGGCGCAAGCCUGAUGCAGCGACGCCGCGUGAGGGAUGGAGGCCUUCGGGUUGUGAACCUCUUUCGCCAGUGAAGCAGGCCUGCCUCGUUUGUGGGUGGGUUGACGGUAGCUGGAUAAGAAGCGCCGGCUAACUACGUG
RNAcentral lists this ribosomal RNA (494 nucleotides) under uncultured bacterium. Its description in RNAcentral is "partial 16S ribosomal RNA". It matches the Rfam family "Bacterial small subunit ribosomal RNA", at positions 28 to 507 of the family's 1533-position model. The record is from RNAcentral.